Molecule: non-coding RNA, 160 nt
Filed under: Rhodospirillaceae bacterium
Lineage: Bacteria; Pseudomonadati; Pseudomonadota; Alphaproteobacteria; Rhodospirillales; Rhodospirillaceae
Description: 6S RNA
Rfam family: 6S / SsrS RNA
About the family: E. coli 6S RNA was the first non coding RNA to be sequenced, but its function was unknown until recently.
Source: RNAcentral
UUGGAGCUGCUGAGUGCGUUAGGUUAUGGUUACUCCCAGGGGCGAUAUUUCGAUACCGGGAGCUGCCUCUCUUACAGUUUUGGCUGUUUGACGCGGUGCCCACCUAUACCCUUUGGCCCACGGCGAGGUCAUGAAGGCCGACGGCUUUUGCGGCUCCAAC